Molecule: ribosomal RNA, 1401 nt
Filed under: uncultured bacterium
Lineage: Bacteria
Description: partial 16S ribosomal RNA
Rfam family: Bacterial small subunit ribosomal RNA
Source: RNAcentral
AGAGUUUGAUCCUGGCUCAGGACGAACGCUGGCGGCGUGCCUAACACAUGCAAGUCGAGCGAGUUGAUUCUCUUCGGAGAUGAAGCUAGCGGCGGACGGGUGAGUAACACGUGGGCAACCUGCCUCAUAGAGGGGAAUAGCCUCCCGAAAGGGAGAUUAAUACCGCAUAAGAUUGUAGCUUCGCAUGAAGUAGCAAUUAAAGGAGCAAUCCGCUAUGAGAUGGGCCCGCGGCGCAUUAGCUAGUUGGUGAGGUAACGGCUCACCAAGGCGACGAUGCGUAGCCGACCUGAGAGGGUGAUCGGCCACAUUGGGACUGAGACACGGUCCAGACUCCUACGGGAGGCAGCAGUGGGGAAUAUUGCACAAUGGGCGCAAGCCUGAUGCAGCCAUGCCGCGUGUGUGAAGAAGGCCUUCGGGUUGUAAAGCACUUUCAGCGGGGAGGAAGGCGGUGAGGUUAAUAACCUCAUCGAUUGACGUUACCCGCAGAAGAAGCACCGGCUAACUCCGUGCCAGCAGCCGCGGUAAUACGGAGGGUGCAAGCGUUAAUCGGAAUUACUGGGCGUAAAGCGCACGCAGGCGGUCUGUCAAGUCGGAUGUGAAAUCCCCGGGCUCAACCUGGGAACUGCAUUCGAAACUGGCAGGCUAGAGUCUUGUAGAGGGGGGUAGAAUUCCAGGUGUAGCGGUGAAAUGCGUAGAGAUCUGGAGGAAUACCGGUGGCGAAGGCGGCCCCCUGGACAAAGACUGACGCUCAGGUGCGAAAGCGUGGGGAGCAAACAGGAUUAGAUACCCUGGUAGUCCACGCCGUAAACGAUGUCGAUUUGGAGGUUGUGCCCUUGAGGCGUGGCUUCCGGGAGCUAACACGUUAAAUCGACCGCCUGGGGAGUACGGCCGCAAGGUUAAAACUCAAAUGAUAUUGACGGGGGCCCGCACAAGCGGUGGAGCAUGUGGUUUAAUUCGAUGCAACGCGAAGAACCUUACCUGGUCUUGACAUCCACAGAACUUAGCAGAGAUGCUUUGGUGCCUUCGGGAACUGUGAGACAGGUGCUGCAUGGCUGUCGUCAGCUCGUGUUGUGAAAUGUUGGGUUAAGUCCCGCAACGAGCGCAACCCUUAUCCUUUGUUGCCAGCGGUUAGGCCGGGAACUCAAAGGAGACUGCCAGUGAUAAACUGGAGGAAGGUGGGGAUGACGUCAAGUCAUCAUGGCCCUUACGACCAGGGCUACACACGUGCUACAAUGGCAAGUACAAAAAGAAGCAAGACCGCGAGGUGGAGCAAAACUCAAAAACUUGUCUCAGUUCGGAUUGUAGGCUGAAACUCGCCUACAUGAAGCUGGAGUUGCUAGUAAUCGCGAAUCAGCAUGUCGCGGUGAAAACGUUCCCGGGCCUUGCACACACCGCCCGUCA